This 313-nucleotide unclassified non-coding RNA is filed under the name plant metagenome. RNAcentral's name for it is "partial contains small subunit ribosomal RNA, internal transcribed spacer 1, and 5.8S ribosomal RNA". The record is from RNAcentral.
UUUCCGUAGGUGAACCUGCGGAAGGAUCAUUAAAUAAAUAAAAUGAGACCAAGGGCACGCUAUGAAUCUAUCUCUGGCUGAACUUGAUCACUUUUUUUUACUGUUAACUGUUAAAACAACUGACGUUUGAGGAAUGCUCCCUUGGCUGUAAUAUAGACAAGCCAGUGUUUGAGAUGUUAACCGAGUCAGGCCACGCUGGGGCGUGCUGUCUAUAAAAAUUUAUAAACUAUUGACCAGUAUUAAAAAAACGUUUACCUUUCUGAGCCUUAUGCUUGGAAAAAAACAACUUUUAACAACGGAUCUCUAGGCUCUC